CAAUAGCGUAUAUUAAAGUUGUUGCAGUUAAAAAGCUCGUAGUUGGAUUUCUGAUCGAGACAUCAGGUCGGGUCCGAGAGGAUCAUGUACUUUGAUUUUGUUUUGAUCAUCCUUGGGGAGAGCAUUUCUGGCAUUAAGUUGUCGGGAUUGGGAUCCUCAUCGUUUACUGUGAAAAAAUUAGAGUGUUCAAAGCAGGCCUCGGCCUCUGAAUACAUUAGCAUGGAAUAAUAAGAUAGGACUUUGGUGGUCUAUUUUGUUGGUUUGCACGCCAAAGUAAUGAUUAAUAGGGAUAGUUGGGGGUAUUCGUAUUCAAUUGUCAGAGGUGAAAUUCUUGGAUUUAUGGAAGACGAACUACUGCGAAAGCAUUUACCAAGGAUGUUUUCAUUAA
This 388-nucleotide ribosomal RNA is filed under the name uncultured eukaryote. RNAcentral's name for it is "partial 18S ribosomal RNA". It matches the Rfam family "Eukaryotic small subunit ribosomal RNA", at positions 592 to 976 of the family's 1831-position model. The record is from RNAcentral.